UGAAAUGUUACGACGGCUUUGUAAAGUGUGUUGGUUCCUGCCGGAUGAACGCUGGAACGAGCGCUGCCGUAUCAGAAGUGCGAAUGUUGACAUGAGUAACGAUCAAAGAGGUGAAAAACCUCUUCGCCGAAAAUCCAAGGUUUCCUGUCCAACGCUAAUCGUGGCAGGGUGAGGCGGCCCCUAAGGCGAGGGCGAAAGCCGUAGUCGAUGGGAAACAGGUUAAUAUUCCUGUACUUCUUAUAAUUGCGAUGGGGUGACGGAGAAGGUUAGGCUAGCACGGCGACGGUUGUCCGUGUUCAAGGUUGUAGACUGAGAUUCUAGGUAAAUCCGGAAUCUCUUAAGGUCAAGAACUGAUAACGACCACUCUUUUGAGUGGGAAGUAGUCGAUACCAUGCUUCCAGGAAAAACCUCUAAGCUUCAGAUUAUAAGAAACCGUACCCCAAACCGACACAGGUGGAUAAGUCGAGAAGACUAAGGUGUUUGAGAGAACUAUGGUGAAGGAACUAGGCAAAAUGGUACCGUAACUUCGGGAGAAGGUACGCCACCAUUGGUGAUGAGACUUGCUCUUUAAGCUGAUGGUGGUCGAAGAUACUAGGUGGCUGCGACUGUUUAUUAAAAACAUAGCACUCUGCAAAAUCGUAAGAUGACGUAUAGGGUGUGACGCCUGCCCGGUGCCGGAAGGUUAAUUGAUGGGGUUAGCUUCGGCGAAGCUCUUGAUCGAAGCCCCGGUAAACGGCGGCCGUAACUAUAACGGUCCUAAGGUAGCGAAAUUCCUUGUCGGGUAAGUUCCGACCUGCACGAAUGGCGUAACGAUGGCCACACUGUCUCCACCAUAGACUCAGUGAAAUUGAAAUCGCUGUUAAGAUGCAGUGUACCCGCAGCUAGACGGAAAGACCCCGUGCACCUUUACUAUAGGUUUACACUGGACUUUGACCUUACUUGUGUAGGAUAGGUGGGAGACUUUGAAGCUGAGACGCCAGUCUUAGUGGAGUCAUCCUUGAAAUACCACCCUUGUAAGAUUGAAGUUCUAACCUAGGUCCAUUAUCUGGAUCAGGGACAGUGUAUGCUGGGUAGUUUGACUGGGGCGGUCUCCUCCUAAAGAGUAACGGAGGAGUACGAAGG
RNAcentral lists this ribosomal RNA (1122 nucleotides) under marine metagenome. Its description in RNAcentral is "bacterial LSU rRNA". It matches the Rfam family "Bacterial large subunit ribosomal RNA", at positions 1221 to 2316 of the family's 2925-position model. The record is from RNAcentral.